Molecule: unclassified non-coding RNA, 3257 nt
Organism: Octopus bimaculoides (California two-spot octopus)
Lineage: Eukaryota; Metazoa; Mollusca; Cephalopoda; Octopoda; Octopodidae
Source: RefSeq, a predicted model, not a curated record
CCAAUGAGAGGUCGCGUAAACCACGCCUCUCUCUCGUUGCCCUCCCGCUGCUUUUCUAACAAGCGCAGUGUUUGGACGCUGCGCUGGAACACUUUCGCUCCCUCUAGCUUGACUCGAACUUUUGUUUGCAGUUUAGACCAACUGGGGUGAUUGUGACAGAGCCUUCAUCAGCGAAAGAUUAUGGAACACUCUUUAACCAAAGGCAGUUCGGCGCUGAGGUUAGUUGACGUCUCUUCCUCCCAUACACCUCAACACCUUAACGGUGUUCAUGGAUUAACUUUACCACCUACAACUCACAAGCAUUUUACAAGCGGGCAGAGGAAAAUGUUAAACCCAUUCAUGGACACAUCACACGGGCCACAUAUCCCGCCGGGAGCGCUCAAGUUAAGUCCACCACAUCCUAUGAGUGACACUGCUAGUUCGGUACAUAAUCAAGCGAGUCAUCAGUUUGGAACCCAACCGAACGGAUACGGUGUUCCACAUUCACAUUCACAUCAUGUCGGAACGUACGCGGCUCGGGACUUCCUACUUCGCCGUGACCACAUGGGGUUGGCGACCCAUGACGGCAACGCCACAUCACACCACGGUAUGUUCGUACCGUCGUCGGCCGGUCUACACGGACCUCACCAUCCGGAUCCAUCUUCUAGUCAUGUUUUAUUCCCGGGUCUACACGAACCGUCACAUCACCACCCGGGUGCCGGACACCAUGUCAACAGUCAAAUGCGACUCAGUAUUUCCGGACCGGAUAUGUACUCACGAGCGGACCAAUUUAACCAAAUGACCAGUCCCCGAACUGACCACUUUGCCGCAGCUGCUGCCUCACAACAUCUAAACAUGGGACCCAUGAAUGCUAUGAACCACAUGAACAUGGGACCACAUGCGCCGGGUGCCUUCUUUCGUUAUAUGCGGCACCCCAUUAAACAGGAACAUACUUGCAUGUGGGUGGAGACUGACCAACCGGAACCGAAGAAACCUUGUAACAAAACAUUUCCAUCAAUGCACGAAAUCGUGGCACACAUCACAGUGGAACAUGUAGGGGGACCGGAGCAAACGAACCACUCUUGUUACUGGCAGAACUGUACCCGGGACGGGCGACCAUUCAAAGCUAAGUACAAGCUGGUCAACCACAUACGGGUACAUACCGGAGAGAAACCAUUUCCUUGUCCAUUUCCAGGUUGUGGGAAAGUUUUUGCACGGAGUGAGAAUUUAAAGAUUCACAAAAGGACACACACAGGAGAGAAACCUUUCAAGUGUGAAUUCGAUGGUUGUGAUCGCAGAUUUGCCAAUAGUUCCGAUCGGAAGAAACAUUCACAUGUUCAUACAAGUGACAAACCUUACAACUGUAAAGUUCGCGGUUGUGACAAAAGUUAUACACAUCCCAGUUCUUUGCGGAAACACAUGAAAGUUCACGGCAAAUGUUCCCCGCCACAUGGCGGUUCAUACGAGGAGUCAAUAAGUAACAGUCCGAGCAGUGAUUCAAACUCAGCAUCACCGGCUGUUCAGAACCAUACCCCGACACAACAACAACCACAACCACCACCACAACAACAACAUCACCAACACCAACACCAACAACAACCACAACAACAACAACAUCAUCAUCAACAGCAACAAGCAGUAGUAAUACCACAGAGCAGUCCUCCCUCCUUACCACUGGCUCCCAAUCCAACGCUACCCCCUAAUCAUCAUACAAACUUGAGCGAGUGGUAUGUAUGUCAGACAAGUGCUGGGAUGCCAACACCACCUAGCAAUGAACAUUCCCCGAUGAGGAUGCCAAGCUGUAUGAGAUCUCAUCACCAACAAUGUCAACAUUAUUGCCAUGAACCUAUUAAUAAUAAUAUUGCUGGCUGGUAUUCUUCUGCUCUCCGGGAGUACAUGGAAGGAUUUGAACCUGGUGCACAUCAGUUAUUCAGCAUCGAAUUAUGAACAGUGUUUUCCAACUCUGCCUCAUUACAGCUAGGAAGACUGAGGCGUCCUGGGUUAUUAUAACGAAUCACCGAUGAAUCUGACUCGAUUUUUUGCACCCCCGGAAUAUUUGCUUCGUCCGUUUGCAAAUAUUAUUAUUAUUAUACAUCUCGCAAUAAAAAACCGAGUGUUGAUUAAAACAUUGCACUAUUAACUCACAGAUUAAUUGAGUUCAAAUUCGCGGCUGGCAGUUUAUGACAGUUUUGGAGCAAACCAUUCUAUUCUAAAAAUAGCUAAUAAUGUAGGUCAGCCUCGGUCUACAGCCAACCCCUCAGUUUACCACACUGUCAAGAAUAUGUACAAGGUCCUUGUGGCUCACUCUCAAAUUGCUGUCUACCAACCAGUUCACUAUGAAGUCAAAUGAAUGUGAUUCAACCGAAGAUCAUAGAACACCAAUCAGUUCACCCAGCUGUCAUGAAUAGCUAUCAUAGGUUCAGUCCCAGAUCACACAAUCCACCAAUCAGUCCACCUAACUGUCAGGAACGUGUACCAUAUCAAUCUAGCUCAGUCUCAGACCAGUGUCCACCAAUAAGUCUACCUCACUGUCAGGACUACAACCCCAAAAAUUGGUCAACAUUCACGCCUCAAGUCCCACACCUCAUUAAUCAUUUCAUCCAUGUAUUGGGAAUUAGUAGCAGCUUCAAACCACAGUUCAUCACAGUUUGAUUUAACAUUGGCUCAAGAUUCUGGUUCUGAUGAUAGAACAUCACGUGAUGGUUGGUGAAUGUGUAAUAAACUUAACCAUCCAUGUUAAACUCAUCGUAUACUAAUUUAUUCACUAGCAGGUGAACAGAUUCCUCAGCAACGAGAGAUUUUUUUCACCAAAUUAGCAACUGAUAUCAUAUAUCUGAUACACAAACCUGAUUUACUUAUGUGGUUUCCAAAUUCUUCAAGUUUAUCAUUACAGAACACACAAUUACACAACCACUGCCAAAAAUAAAUAAACAAAUACAUAAACAAAUAAAUAAAUAAAUAAAUAAAUAAUAAAUAAACAAAUAAAUAAACAAAUAUGUUUUGUGUUGGAAAGUUAAUGCAGAUUUUCAGACUCUAGAAAAUCGAAAGAUACACUUCAACUAUGUUGGCUCUUACACUACAUAUACAAACUUUAUACUACACGGUCGGUACUCGUUGAUUUCAUGGAUGAAAAAGACACUGGCCACGCCCACUGACGCUGAACUGGAUCGAUUACAAAAUCAACAAGCCGCUUUUACAGAAUUACAUUUACGAGGUGAUUUGACCGCCAUCUACCGGGACAAUUUGGCUGUUGUCGGAAUGGGAUAAAUGGAAUUGAC